AGAAAGUUUAGAUACAAACGAUAGACGUAGCUUACCUUGAAGGAGAAAGAUUGGUUGCAGAGAUUGCAGAGAUUGCAGAGGACGAUUGCUUACGGAGGAGGAAAAUUCCAUCACGGAGCAGGAUAAUCUACAUAAAAUCUUUAAUUAAAUAUUGAAUUAAAGAUAUUUUAUUUUAGUUGGUUUAGAUUAAUUCGCAGCCCAUUGUAUUUUAUUUUAAAUUGUGCAGUCCAUAAUUUAUUUAUCACGGACUA
This is a long non-coding RNA of Salvia splendens (bonfire salvia), 251 nucleotides long. RefSeq lists it as uncharacterized. The record is from RefSeq and is a predicted model, not a curated record. The transcript has 2 exons. NCBI's taxonomy places the organism in Eukaryota, Viridiplantae, Streptophyta, Magnoliopsida, Lamiales, Lamiaceae.